UACAAGAAAAACUUGAGUUUUGUCUUCUUAGAUCAGAUCAUAGACACAAUCACUGAGCUUCAGUUUCCUACUGAUGCAGAUAAACACACAAUGCGCUCACACACUUUUAGUUUGUCACAGUUGAGAGCCGUUGCUUCAUCCCAUUCAAACAAACAUUCAUGAAACACAGAAAGUACAGAUAUGCGGAAACUGCAGCAGUACUUGACAAACAGAGAGAGAGAAGUUCUUAUUGUUUCCUGUCCUCAGCCCACACAGACAAUGUGGUCAAACGUCACACAUUAUUGAAGCAUUGCAGAUUGCAUUAGGAUGGCGGUGAGCAUCAUCUGCCUGUUGGUCUGUGCUCUGGGCUGUAAUGUCGCUGCAGGUGUUGCAGGAGGUCACCUGUUUUCAGCCUCACCUGUUCUCCGCUCCGCCCUGGUGGUCCAGGCUGGGCAGAACGUCUCGCUGGCCUGUAACCUGACAUCCAGACAGGAAAUCACCUGGUACCUCCUGCGCUCGGACCAGCUGCUGCCUGUGCUGACGGUUCGAUCAAGUCGAGUCGGAGAAGAUACGGUGAACGUUCACAUCGCAGACAGACGUCGAGUCAACAGCGUGGGGGAUCUGAAAAGUGGCUCGGUUGGUCUGGAGAUCGAGGAGGUGCAGGAGGACGACGCCGGGCUGUAUUUCUGCACGGGGCGGUGUGCAGGAGCUGUUUGUGUUAACAGAGGAAUUCAUCUGGUUCUUGAUGGUGAUGACGAGAAGUCAGCCAGGCAGCCAUGUUGGAGUACGGGGACCUGUGUCCUUCCAGCUGUAUUCGUCCUCUGUGUCGUCAACAUCACUGUGUUCUGCCUGUGCUCAGGUCUGAGUCCUCUGCUCCGGCCUGACUUCUCGUUCUUUGCACCUCUUGUUGGCAGCUCAUACUCGACCGCUACAUCCUGUCCCACCUAAAGCAGCAAAAGUGUGAUCUAUGCUAACAGUUUCACAUCGAGUCAUUUUCCAUUGAGUAGAACCAAGUGUGAAACCACCAUGACCAUCUUGGUUCUUUAGAGCCAGAAAGGACCAUUUACAAACUAUGCAGGUGCAAUCAAUACAUUUUGGUUAUCAGCAUGAUCAAAGAUAAUAAACAAUAACUUUAAUAUUAAAGUUUUUGGGGGCACCACACUUAAAGAGGGGGAAAUGAUAGAAUGGGCUUCAGUCUUUAAAAUGCACUACAACUACAAUCAGUAUUAUCAUAAGAACAGCUAACAGCUUGAAGGAUUAAGAGUUAAACAUACAAGAACAUGGCAGCCUUCACUCACAGACCAGCAUGUGUAUACACAUGCAUUUAUUAACAAGACAAAAAUACACAAUGGCUUCAGAGGUUGUGUUUGGUCCCGGGUCUGGAAGAGGCUGCAUAACUUGAAACAAGCUCCAACAUAACCGUGUGUGCAUGCACAUUACCAGUGUGCUCCGGACAGGUCAUAUAUCAGCUAGGAGACUCUCCAGUACUAGAGUGACUGUAGUUAGUUAAUGGUUUAAUUCUGGAUUGAUCAGUUUAUUUUUCUCUCUAUAGGUAUAACACGGAAGAAUAAAUCCUGAAUAAUGAACUUCUAUCAGAAAACCUUCAGGACCAAAGAAAGAACAUGUCAUCACUUCCACCUGCUAACACGCCAUCGAUUCAAUAACUCAACCUUAAUUCAAGAAUAAAAAGAAACAUGUAAC
Larimichthys crocea (large yellow croaker) is the source of this 1680-nucleotide RNA transcript. RefSeq lists it as uncharacterized. The transcript has 4 exons. The record is from RefSeq and is a predicted model, not a curated record. NCBI's taxonomy places the organism in Eukaryota, Metazoa, Chordata, Actinopteri, Sciaenidae.